GGGGCUGACAGGUUUCGACGUCAGUGUCGCUGGUCGGACGUGCGACCCGAGUUGCUCAGACUCGUUAAUCGGGGCAAACCAAUAACUGCCAACAAGCAGUUCGCUCUCGCGGCCUAAUUAGGGCGUAGAGAGCAACCGUGAGCCGCAAGGUCGCACGGGGCCAAUUCACCGCAGCCCGGCAACAGAAGCGGGGAAUGACAUCGGGAAAGACUGGUGGCGUCGGGAAAGACCGAUGACCGCACGGAAAGUCGUGCCGCGAUCCCGCAAGGGAUAGUCGACCCGCCGAUGGUGUUGCGUUAGCACCACAGCGGGAAUGGUCGUAUCACGGUCGCUCAACGGCUGAUGGACGGGGGUUCGAUUCCCCCCAGCUCCACCA
Molecule: transfer-messenger RNA, 376 nt
Filed under: Ilumatobacteraceae bacterium
Lineage: Bacteria; Bacillati; Actinomycetota; Acidimicrobiia; Acidimicrobiales; Ilumatobacteraceae
Also listed under: 1 other name
Rfam family: transfer-messenger RNA
About the family: Bacterial tmRNA, also known as 10Sa RNA or SsrA, is named for its dual tRNA and mRNA-like properties. Its role is to liberate the mRNA from a stalled ribosome.
Source: RNAcentral